Molecule: unclassified non-coding RNA, 264 nt
Filed under: uncultured fungus
Lineage: Eukaryota; Fungi
Description: sequence contains ITS1
Source: RNAcentral
UCUACCCCAUCUUCACGUGAACCAUUUUUUCUUGUUCAAGAUCGUAGAUGGCUUUAACCUUAAUCUGAGUUUCAUUUGGUUUUCGUAACCUUAAACUCUUACAAAUUACGAGUUUUGGUAGAAGGACCAAAAUAAACCAGUAUUAUAAACAAAAGUAAUCCUUGUCUAGCUAGCUGCUAAGAUACCAAUAUACUCAAAGGAAUGCUUGUGAUUAAGGACAGAAAAAAUCAUAAAACAAGACAUGCAAUGAUGUAAAACUAACAG